Molecule: ribosomal RNA, 472 nt
Filed under: uncultured bacterium
Lineage: Bacteria
Description: bacterial SSU rRNA
Rfam family: Bacterial small subunit ribosomal RNA
Source: RNAcentral
UGGGGAAUUUUGGACAAUGGGGGCAACCCUGAUCCAGCCAUUCCGCGUGAGUGAAGAAGGCCUUCGGGUUGUAAAGCUCUUUCGGACGGAACGAAACGGUUAGCGUGAAUAGCGCUGACUAAUGACGGUACCGUAAGAAGAAGCACCGGCUAACUACGUGCCAGCAGCCGCGGUAAUACGUAGGGUGCGAGCGUUAAUCGGAAUUACUGGGCGUAAAGCGUGCGCAGGCGGCGGCACAAGUCGGGUGUGAAAUCCCCGGACUUAACCUGGGAAUUGCGCUUGAAACUAGGUCGCUUGAGUGUGGCAGAGGGGGGUGGAAUUCCACGUGUAGCAGUGAAAUGCGUAGAGAUGUGGAGGAACACCGAUGGCGAAGGCAGCCCCCUGGGUCAACACUGACGCUCAUGCACGAAAGCGUGGGGAGCAAACAGGAUUAGAUACCCACGUAGUCCCUGAGCGGGCUGGCAAGGCGCAU